Anguilla rostrata (American eel) is the source of this 1568-nucleotide long non-coding RNA. RefSeq lists it as uncharacterized. The record is from RefSeq and is a predicted model, not a curated record. Lineage: Eukaryota; Metazoa; Chordata; Actinopteri; Anguilliformes; Anguillidae. The transcript is spliced from 3 exons.
UUCUCAGGCUUCCGCUCCAAGCGGCUCCAAGUUAAUAAGAGCUACGCCUUGUGCCCAGACGCGUGUUUUAUUUGAACGGCCGCAUGCAAUCAGUAGAGAUUGUAAUAUACGGAGAAUCGAAAAGCAAGAAACACUCAGCUAUAUUUACUCAUUCCUGCACAAGUAAGGCGUUUUUGACAACACUCCUCUUGGAAAAUCCAACUGAAAUGAUUGUUUAGACGCCGCUUACAUGCUUUUGCAAAAAUUAGUUCUGAUUGGGGUCAAAGACCUUACGGGAUGUUUAAAAACAGAACAUAGCCCUCUAUGGUACUGACUAGAAAUCACGAUGAAAGAGAACAUGAAUGUGUGGUUCUCUGGCAUGUACCCUCGAGGCACAGGACGGCAGAGCUUUGAUGACUGGAUGGAGAGGCCACACCCUUUAUGAAUGGCAGUGAUUGAUCAUCUUCUCCUCCGGAGCUGAAAUUGACAGUAGAUGCAUCCUGGAGGCCAUUGCUCUAUGGUAGUAUUUGACUCGGACACCCUGGAGCAGGAGCGUAGACGUCAGAGGCAGAAUGCAUUCCCUGGCCCCGCCUCCUUCCCCUGUUCCCUGAGGAACGCACUCCGGAACCCCCCUGAGGAAGAGGAGGAAUGUAGCCUGCGAGGCUUGUUUCCGUCCUGACGUGCAGUUCCGAACCUUGUGUUCAGUCCUGGACGGAGGAGAGCAAGGCUACCCACAGGGCCAGAGGGGCAGGACUGCUGGAUUCUGCUGUCAUAAUGUUACUCUGUUCAGUGCAGCCACACAAAUCAGACAUUUCAUUCAUUAAGAACAGAUAACGGAAUUUUCAAAUUUCAGAAACAUAAAUAUACAUUUUUAUUAAAACCAUAAUCACAGAAAAACAGCUUUUGAAACAAAAUGGGAUUCUGUUAAAUGCAUUUUCUAACCUUUAGGACUUGAAGCAAACUAAAAAUUGAUAAUGAAUAUCUCUCACUGUCAGUGUAAUCAAAAGCAAUGUGUGCUAAUAUAAGCUCUUUGUCAAACUGAACAUAAUAGCUUCAGCUUAGUCUGACGCUUUGUGCAGUUCUGGUUAAAUGUCCUGCCAUUUUCUUAUUUGAACAAAUCCUAUUAUGAUCAUCCAAUCUGAAAAACAGCAGUCACUCUGUUCAGGUCCAAACUGAACCCAUCGUGUACUUUCAGAUUACAGAUACAGAAUAAUAAACGUGUGAGAUUCUCAUCUGAUGCACAUUUCUAAUGUACAGCUCCUGUUCAGUAUGACAUCCUGAGGACAGCUUGCUUCCACUACACAAACCAGCUGCUCCAGGAAGUGCGGACUACACUUAGAAGCUGGUGUGGCAAGGCUAACUGACCCCCAAAUUAGCAGAAGGUGAAGUGUGUAUAAAAUUCCCCCCUGGCAGGGAACACACCACAACCCCCACAGCUCCUCUGUAGAUUGGGCUCCAUGCUGAUACAGUCUUGCUGAAAAUUUCAUGGUUGUUAAAGGACAAUUACAAGGAUGACCCUCACUUAUAUCCCAGAAUUCAUUUUUGUGAGCAAUGGCUUCCUCAUUUGUGCAGGAACGUGUGCCAGAAGU